This 720-nucleotide ribosomal RNA is filed under the name uncultured euryarchaeote. RNAcentral describes it as "bacterial SSU rRNA". It matches the Rfam family "Archaeal small subunit ribosomal RNA", at positions 560 to 1277 of the family's 1478-position model. The record is from RNAcentral. Lineage: Archaea; Methanobacteriati; Methanobacteriota.
CAACGGGUGGGCGUCCGGCGGAAACCAGCUAGCUUGGGACCGAGCGACCUGAGGGGUACGUCCGGGGUAGGAGUGAAAUCCCGUAAUCCUGGACGGACCGCCGGUGGCGAAAGCGCCUCUGGAGGACGGACCCGACGGUGAGGGACGAAAGCUAGGGUCACGAACCGGAUUAGAUACCCGGGUAGUCCUAGCUGUAAACGAUGAUCGCUAGGUGUGGCGAUGGCUACGAGCCAUCGCUGUGCCGUAGGGAAGCCGAGAAGCGAUCCGCCUGGGAAGUACGUCCGCAAGGAUGAAACUUAAAGGAAUUGGCGGGGGAGCACUACAACCGGAGGAGCCUGCGGUUUAAUUGGACUCAACGCCGGACAUCUCACCAGCAUCGACAAUGUGCAGUGAAGGUCAGUGUGAUGAGCUUACUGGAGCCAUUGAGAGGAGGUGCAUGGCCGCCGUCAGCUCGUACCGUGAGGCGUCCUGUUAAGUCAGGCAACGAGCGAGACCCGCACUCCUAAUUGCCAGCAACACCCUUGUGGUGGUUGGGUACAUUAGGAGGACUGCCGCUGCCAAAGCGGAGGAAGGAACGGGCAACGGUAGGUCAGUAUGCCCCGAAUGUGCUGGGCUACACGCGGGCUACAAUGGUCGAGACAAUGGGAUGCCACCCCGAAAGGGGGCGCUAAUCUCCUAAACUCGAUCGUAGUUCGGAUUGAGGAUGAAACUCGUCCUCAU